CACCCAGGCUGUAAAAAGCCAUAAGCUUUAAUUAUUCAUCCUAAGCCUAAACUCUUUUAAAUCGAUAAAGCCGGGACAUAAACUUAGGUUAAAUCCUUUACUAUACCCUGCCACCACACACAAUUAAAGUACUAUUUGUUCGCCAACCAACUUCGAGUAGUAACUUAAAACUUAAAAGACUUGACGGUGCUUCACCACAACCUAGAGGGGCCUGUCUAUAACCGCCAACCCACGAUUAACCUCACCCUCUCUCGCCAACAGUCUAUAUACCCCCGUCAUAAGCUUACCCUGUAAAAGAAACAAAAUGAGCUAAAUAGCACUACGCUAAAACGACAGGUCGAGGUGUAACCCAUGAGAGGGCAAAGAUGGGCUACAUUCUCCCACAGAGCAUACGAAUAACACUAUGAACAUAGUGACUGAAGGUGGAUUUAGUAGUAAGAUAGGAAUAAAAUACCUAACUGAACAUAAAGCAAUGAAGCGCGUACACACCGCCCGUCAUCCCUGCCCAUAUCUAACUAAUCUACAUAAACCCCUCCCAAUACCAACCCAGGGCAAGUCGUAACAUGGUAAGUGUACUGGAAAGUGCACUUAGAAACAAAAAGUAGCUUACAUAAAGCAUUCGACCUACACUCGAAAGACAUUCUUACAAUCUUUUUGAGCUGACUAUACAACUAAUCACAAACAUAUACCUACCCACCAAACAAACCAUUUGAUAAACCUAGUAGUUGUGAUCGAACAGUAAACAGUCAAAACAAAGUACCGCAAGGGAAACCCCCAAGCAACUACAGC
This 789-nucleotide ribosomal RNA is filed under the name Daboia russelii (Russell's viper). Its description in RNAcentral is "partial 12S ribosomal RNA". Lineage: Eukaryota; Metazoa; Chordata; Lepidosauria; Squamata; Viperidae. The record is from RNAcentral.